CAGUCUUGCCAUAGAAGACUGAAAGAAUGUAAGAUUAACUUCUUUGUGACCAAUAUGACUUGCUCAUUGAUACAUUUGCUAUGUCAAUAUGAGAUGCAUGGCGAAGUAUUUAAUUUAUUUGUCUCUCUUCUAGGAGCUGUAGAAACAACAGGGUGCCUACUGCAGUAUGACGAGGACGCCCUGAUCAUAGAAGGUCCAGUGUCUUGGCAGGGUGAAAUGGCACUGAUAUCGUGUCCUGCAGGAUGCUGUGUCCUGCAAUCCUGUGUGCUGUGCUACAGACGCGUGUGGAGGUCAACCCGAAAUGGGCACAGUAGAGUGAAAGAGGAUCCUGGCAGGGAGACGGUAGUGUCCUGCAGGAUGGUGAUGGGCAAUCUUACAAGAGACCACAGAAAACUGAUAUAGUCUCCCAGAAGUGAGACUGAGUGCCUGUUGCAGUAUGACGAGGAAGCAGUGACCAGAGACCUUCAGUAGACCCUGCUGGCAUGAUUGGCGGCUGAAGAACAUGAAAUCAACAGCAAUGUUUAUAAUAUUGUACAUACCUGUAUAGUCUGCACUAAAAUGCUGUACCUGUACUAUUUUUCCUCUUACUUUCAUAUUUACCACGUAUUUACUAUGAAUUGACAACUUUUACUCAAAUCCAUUUUUGUAUGUGCCCUGACUAAAACUAUCCUUAAACCUAACCUGCCAGAGGUAUAAUAACAACCUGCUCUUAGCAAUGUGGCAGCAGUCUACUUGGAUGCAGCGGGGAACAUAGAACCCUUUUUUUUGAAAAAGCAUUGUAUGUUUCUGAGUUUUAUGAAUUGUGCCCUUCCCAAACCUAACCUGUCGUAGGGGCCUAUGAAAUCCGUUUUAUUUUUCCUCAUUCAGUUUUUUUCUGAUUUAUUUUUUGCCAAAUUGGAUUUUUUUUACAUUUUUGAACUUAUUUUCC
Long non-coding RNA from Engraulis encrasicolus (European anchovy), 928 nucleotides. RefSeq lists it as uncharacterized. The record is from RefSeq and is a predicted model, not a curated record. NCBI's taxonomy places the organism in Eukaryota, Metazoa, Chordata, Actinopteri, Clupeiformes, Engraulidae. The transcript has 4 exons.